CACAGGUAAGGGUGAAACGGUGCGGUAAGAGCGCACCGCGCGACCGGCAACGGAAGCGGCACGGUAAACCCCACCCGGAGCAAGGCCAAAUAGGGGAACAACAGGCGUGGCCCGCGUCGUUCCCGGGUAGGCUGCUUGAGGUCCGCGGUGACGCGGAUCCCAGAGGAAUGAUUGCCCACGACAGAACCCGGCUUAUCGGCCGACUCCCUCU
Molecule: RNase P RNA, 211 nt
Filed under: Nevskiales bacterium
Lineage: Bacteria; Pseudomonadati; Pseudomonadota; Gammaproteobacteria; Nevskiales
Description: partial RNase P RNA component class A
Rfam family: Bacterial RNase P class A
About the family: Ribonuclease P (RNase P) is a ubiquitous endoribonuclease, found in archaea, bacteria and eukarya as well as chloroplasts and mitochondria. Its best characterised activity is the generation of mature 5'-ends of tRNAs by cleaving the 5'-leader elements of precursor-tRNAs.
Source: RNAcentral